CUGCUAUCAGAGUGGGACUAAGCCAUGCGAGUUAACGUAGUAAUACGUGGCAUACGGCUCAGUAACACGUAGUCAACAUGCCCAGGGGACGUGGAUAACCUCGGGAAACUGAGGAUAAACCGCGAUAGGCCAUAAUUCCUGGAAUGGUUUAUGACUGAAACCUAUAUGGCCCCUGGAUUGGACUGCGGCCGAUCAGGCUGUUGGUGAGGUAAUGGCCCACCAAACCUGUAACCGGUACGGGCUCUGAGAGGAGAAGCCCGGAGAUGGGCACUGAGACAAGGGCCCAGGCCCUAUGGGGCGCAGCAGGCGCGAAACCUCUGCAAUAGGCGAAAGCCU
RNAcentral lists this ribosomal RNA (336 nucleotides) under uncultured crenarchaeote. RNAcentral describes it as "bacterial SSU rRNA". It matches the Rfam family "Archaeal small subunit ribosomal RNA", at positions 27 to 368 of the family's 1478-position model. The record is from RNAcentral. Lineage: Archaea; Thermoproteati; Thermoproteota.